Molecule: ribosomal RNA, 288 nt
Filed under: Triticum aestivum (bread wheat)
Lineage: Eukaryota; Viridiplantae; Streptophyta; Magnoliopsida; Poales; Poaceae
Description: partial small subunit ribosomal RNA
Source: RNAcentral
AUGGCUAUUAUUCUUAACAAAACUUGCCUGACACGUUCUUUCUCCUUUGUUAUUUGAUGCUGCAAGUCCUUGUUAAUAGUUUCCUCUUUCCGUAGUCUAAUCCUUAAUUCAUUCCACUUGUUCAUGUUAUUAAUAUGAUCAACACUAUUUUCAUGUUCUUUAAGCUUCUCACUAAUGUGCCUCCAAUGAUCUAAUCCAUCAUGUGCUAAGGAACUCUGACUCCUGCUAUUGCUAGACUUGAAGAUCUUACAACAAAAGCAAAAAACUUUGUCAACACCUUUUGAAUAA